UGCAGUCGAGCGGUAGCACAGAGAGCUUGCUCUCGGGUGACGAGCGGCGGACGGGUGAGUAAUGUCUGGGAAACUGCCUGAUGGAGGGGGAUAACUACUGGAAACGGUAGCUAAUACCGCAUAAUGUCGCAAGACCAAAGUGGGGGACCUUCGGGCCUCAUGCCAUCAGAUGUGCCCAGAUGGGAUUAGCUAGUAGGUGGGGUAACGGCUCACCUAGGCGACGAUCCCUAGCUGGUCUGAGAGGAUGACCAGCCACACUGGAACUGAGACACGGUCCAGACUCCUACGGGAGGCAGCAGUGGGGAAUAUUGCACAAUGGGCGCAAGCCUGAUGCAGCCAUGCCGCGUGUGUGAAGAAGGCCUUCGGGUUGUAAAGCACUUUCAGCGGGGAGGAAGGCGUUAAGGUUAAUAACCUUGUCGAUUGACGUUACCCGCAGAAGAAGCACCGGCUAACUCCGUGCCAGCAGCCGCGGUAAUACGGAGGGUGCAAGCGUUAAUCGGAAUUACUGGGCGUAAAGCGCACGCAGGCGGUCUGUCAAGUCGGAUGUGAAAUCCCCGGGCUCAACCUGGGAACUGCAUUCGAAACUGGCAGGCUAGAGUCUUGUAGAGGGGGGUAGAAUUCCAGGUGUAGCGGUGAAAUGCGUAGAGAUCUGGAGGAAUACCGGUGGCGAAGGCGGCCCCCUGGACAAAGACUGACGCUCAGGUGCGAAAGCGUGGGGAGCAAACAGGAUUAGAUACCCUGGUAGUCCACGCCGUAAACGAUGUCGAUUUGGAGGUUGUGCCCUUGAGGCGUGGCUUCCGGAGCUAACGCGUUAAAUCGACCGCCUGGGGAGUACGGCCGCAAGGUUAAAACUCAAAUGAAUUGACGGGGGCCCGCACAAGCGGUGGAGCAUGUGGUUUAAUUCGAUGCAACGCGAAGAACCUUACCUGGUCUUGACAUCCACAGAACUUUCCAGAGAUGGAUUGGUGCCUUCGGGAACUGUGAGACAGGUGCUGCAUGGCUGUCGUCAGCUCGUGUUGUGAAAUGUUGGGUUAAGUCCCGCAACGAGCGCAACCCUUAUCCUUUGUUGCCAGCGGUUAGGCCGGGAACUCAAAGGAGACUGCCAGUGAUAAACUGGAGGAAGGUGGGGAUGACGUCAAGUCAUCAUGGCCCUUACGACCAGGGCUACACACGUGCUACAAUGGCAUAUACAAAGAGAAGCGACCUCGCGAGAGCAAGCGGACCUCAUAAAGUAUGUCGUAGUCCGGAUUGGAGUCUGCAACUCGACUCCAUGAAGUCGGAAUCGCUAGUAAUCGUAGAUCAGAAUGCUACGGUGAAUACGUUCCCGGGCCUUGUACACACCGCCCGUCACACCAUGGGAGUGGGUUGCAAAAGAAGUAGGUAGCUUAACCUUCGGGAGGGCGCUUACCACU
This 1412-nucleotide ribosomal RNA is filed under the name Klebsiella sp. RNAcentral describes it as "bacterial SSU rRNA". It matches the Rfam family "Bacterial small subunit ribosomal RNA". Lineage: Bacteria; Pseudomonadati; Pseudomonadota; Gammaproteobacteria; Enterobacterales; Enterobacteriaceae. The record is from RNAcentral.